UUUGGGAGUGUCUCCCUUCUCGGGAGACUCUCUCGACCCCACGAACCCUUGACCUCAAAUCGGGUGAGACUACCCGCUGAACUUAAGCAUAUCAAUAAGCGGAGGAAAAGAAACUAACAAGGAUUCCCCUAGUAACUGCGAGUGAAGCGGGAAAAGCUCAAAUUUAAAAUCUGGCGGUCUCUGGCCGUCCGAGUUGUAAUUUAGAGAAGC
RNAcentral lists this ribosomal RNA (210 nucleotides) under Lactarius hatsudake. RNAcentral describes it as "partial 28S ribosomal RNA". The stretch from base 50 to 210 matches the Rfam family "Eukaryotic large subunit ribosomal RNA", at positions 1 to 159 of the family's 3401-position model. Lineage: Eukaryota; Fungi; Basidiomycota; Agaricomycetes; Russulales; Russulaceae. The record is from RNAcentral.